Molecule: ribosomal RNA, 602 nt
Filed under: uncultured bacterium
Lineage: Bacteria
Description: bacterial SSU rRNA
Rfam family: Bacterial small subunit ribosomal RNA
Source: RNAcentral
CGAGGGGCAGCAUGGUCUUAGCUUGCUAAGGCUGAUGGCGACCGGCGCACGGGUGAGUAACACGUAUCCAACCUGCCGUCUACUCUUGGCCAGCCUUCUGAAAGGAAGAUUAAUCCAGGAUGGGAUCAUGAGUUCACAUGUCCGCAUGAUUAAAGGUAUUUUCCGGUAGACGAUGGGGAUGCGUUCCAUUAGAUAGUAGGCGGGGUAACGGCCCACCUAGUCAACGAUGGAUAGGGGUUCUGAGAGGAAGGUCCCCCACAUUGGAACUGAGACACGGUCCAAACUCCUACGGGAGGCAGCAGUGAGGAAUAUUGGUCAAUGGGCGAUGGCCUGAACCAGCCAAGUAGCGUGAAGGAUGACUGCCCUAUGGGUUGUAAACUUCUUUUAUAAAGGAAUAAAGUCGGGUAUGCAUACCCGUUUGCAUGUACUUUAUGAAUAAGGAUCGGCUAACUCCGUGCCAGCAGCCGCGGUAAUACGGAGGAUCCGAGCGUUAUCCGGAUUUAUUGGGUUUAAAGGGAGCGUAGAUGGAUGUUUAAGUCAGUUGUGAAAGUUUGCGGCUCAACCGUAAAAUUGCAGUUGAUACUGGAUGUCUUGAGUGCAGU